Long non-coding RNA from Carya illinoinensis, 3052 nucleotides. RefSeq lists it as uncharacterized. The record is from RefSeq and is a predicted model, not a curated record. Lineage: Eukaryota; Viridiplantae; Streptophyta; Magnoliopsida; Fagales; Juglandaceae. The transcript has 5 exons.
UUUCGAUGUUAAAAGUUGGAAAGGCACACAUGCUCUCCCAUCUGCGCUUCUAGACCGUCCACGACAAGGGGUCGAAUGACUCGAAUCCCAUGCACCAAGUCUGGAAAAUGCCGAGCAAGAAGUAUACGAGGAUGGAGUCGUGGCGACACUCGACCCCUACUAGAAACAAGUCUUCCGAAAACCCACCCGAUUCGCGCUCGUGGCUUCCCUCCACCAUUCCUUCCAGCCCUUCUUUUUCUACACCCGCGACCGUCGUCCCAAAUGCCACUGGUUCUACUAAUUUAACGCCACCCGGGAGCUCGGGUUCUCCUCCUCCAAGACCAUGACAUCCUUUGGUUCUACUCUUUUACUUUGGUCCGGUUUAUAUAAUUAGAGGUAGACUUCUACAUUGUUUUUAGAGAAGUUGAAAUUUGUAAAGACUAUUCAUUCAAAGAGUGACUCAAUGGUGGGUCGAUCUUUUGUGAAAGCAAAACAGACUUGAUUGUAAAUCUGGUUAGGGUGGAGGUCAGGUGGUACACUUCAAUGGUUGGGAGAAAAUCAAAUCACAUACGCCUUAUAUCAAUGCUCUCGGAGGUUGGAGUCACAAUAGUAAAGACUACUGAAUUUGUCCAAGGCCAUACAGAUCAAUGGGGGCUUGCUUGGUCAUUUUCCCUCCAUUGUAUCAACAGCAUCAGCUCAUGUGGCUUAGAAGAAUAUCUUCAUGCUUAAGAUGAUCACUGUGGUGCAAUCCUGAAGAAUGAAGUACUAUCUAUUGAUGAAGCUACAAGUUGUUGACUUGAACCAGAGAUGUCUAAUGGUUCAAGUUGUUUGCAACCUCCUUCAAAUAACUUAGGUUUUGCAUUUCGGUUUUUCAGCAAAACCCGGGGACAGCACUGGUGAAAGGACCAUUACAGCAUAGACAUAACCCAGUCUCAGGUUCCUCUCCCUCUGGCUUUAACACUUCUCAUAUCUCAUUUUUAUCUUUGACAAAAGGCUCUUAUUGUAGCAUUCUGAUAAUUUUCUAUAGUCUUUCAAUUCUUAAAAGAAUUCUGGAAAUAUUCUUUUUAACUUAUCUAUUCUCAAAAAAUCCUUCCUUCUACAGAUAUGGCCCUGUGCAUGCUUUUUCUGAUCUUAUUUUGCCUUUUUAUUUUUUCCUCACAUUUACAGCCAACGUUCUUUUUUGUCUCCCCCUCCCCUAAAUCUUGUGACACCUUGAAGCUCAGCUUUGUUAAGUAAUUAUUGGUCAUUGCCAAAGGUCUUUAGAUGGAAUAGCAUCUCCUUCUCUCAUUAAUAAGGGGCGCAAGGUUCAGUAAUGGGUUCGAUUUCUUUUGGGUGCUGAGGCGUAUAUACCUAUCAAUUCAUCACGAACCUUCAGAAAUCCUUUUUCCUUGUAACAUGCAAACCACAUCUGCAGGAAGAUCAACAGCUGGUUUUUCUUUAUUCGUUUUUUAAAAUUGUAAUAGAGUUAUAAGUUUAUCAUUAUUAUACACUACAACAUGCAUACAUUCAGAUGAAGAGAAUGCCUGCUCAAAGACCACAUAUUAUAAAUAGAAAUCAAGCUAAUUAACAAAAAGAGAAAAAAUACAAAUAGAAUCAUCUUGAGAUGUCUCCAUCUCUAAGAUAGUUGGAGGGCUUCCAAUAGGCCGCCUGAUCUUUCUUCUUCCUUCUCUUGAAAUGUUUGGACGCAGCCUUUGGCACUUUAGCCCUUGCCUUUGUGGUGGCUGGGUAACAAGUAUUCUUAAUGGGAAUUGGAGAUAGCUCAUACUCCAUUUUCUUCUUGUGCUUCAAUUUCAGAAGAUUAAUGAUCACUGUUGGAUGCAGUGGUGCUGAUCUUCUUCUUGACGUUGGAAGUGACUAUCUUGAGCUUGCUUAUGUUGCCCAAUCUAUGUCCAACUCCAUCCCGAAGCAGAGAUUUCUUGGUGUUAUGAAACCCAAAUCAAAGUCCAAGUCCAUGGGACUGUAAGCCCGUGUGACCAAAGAUAUUGAGCCCUGUGUGAAAUCGAAAGCCGAGUUGUUGGGGAACUUGCAGAGAAGCUCUUUUGACAUCAAUGUCUCCAAGUACUCCACUUGCUAGUGGCCACCACUAGCUAUGUUUUAACGUUUCAGGCCAUGAGUCUUCUUCACUGUUGUUCAUUCUACUUCGACUAAAGUUAGCAACUUGUCUUGCUUAUACUAAGGCCUCGUUUGGUAAUAUAGAUGAGAUGAGAUAAGAUGAAAGUUAAAAGUUGAAUAAAAUAUUGUUAGAAUAUAAUUUUUUAAUAUAAUUUUUGUUUUGAGAUUUGAAAAGUUGAAUUUUUUUUUGUAUUUUGUUUGGGAGUUUGGAAAAAUUAUAAUAAUUAGAUAAGAUGAGAUUGUUUGUGAAAACAAACCAGGCUUAGAGCUAUUAAUUCUGGGUUGGCCUCAACAGUUAUGACAUAGUAAGCUCUUUUUUAUUUCAUCAUCCUGAAUUUUGGUUCACGUCCAAUCUUUCUGACUACAAGUACGUGGCAACUUUUAUUUAAUUAAAGACUUGAAGGAAGUUAUUAAAAGGCAGCUUAAUAGAUUCUGUAAAGUCACAUACAACAAGAGGUGGUAUAUGCUGUUAUCCAAUAUUGAGAAUUGAUCUGCAUUGCUUAGAUCUUUGACUUCAUGUACUUCCAAUUUUUUUUUUCCGGAAAAAAAAUGAGAUCUUUGUGUUGUAGGCUAUGUUCUUGCAGGUUACGACCAUGAAGUUGCUCUAUCUCAAGCAAAAGGAUGUUUGAGCAGCGAUGCUUCAGUUGCACCUUUUUUCAUUCUCCUUGUUUGUCCUUUUUGUCGUCACCACGUUUGGAGCUACAUCUUUGAUUUUCUAAUUGACUAUUACCUUUUCAUGUUUCCAGUUUCCUUUCCCCUUACCACACUGUACUCAAUAUGAACAUUACGCUUUCAUGGUUAACAUUAGCCCAUUCAUUGGGAUUUGAUUGGUUUAUCAUUCUCAAGAACAGAAGAUCUGUCUCUCCCAUCUGUCUUGUGGUGAUCAGUUCUUUGAGCCUGAGAUAACUGACAAAGAUGUCUCGAUCAAUAAAGUUUGAUGCACAAGGGCUCCAUUCAUCAA